GAUGAACGCUGGCGGCGUGCCUAAUACAUGCAAGUCGAGCGAACAGACGAGGAGCUUGCUCCUCUGACGUUAGCGGCGGACGGGUGAGUAACACGUGGAUAACCUACCUAUAAGACUGGGAUAACUUCGGGAAACCGGAGCUAAUACCGGAUAAUAUAUUGAACCGCAUGGUUCAAUAGUGAAAGACGGUUUUGCUGUCAAUUAUAGAUGGAUCCGCGCCGCAUUAGCUAGUUGGUAAGGUAACGGCUUACCAAGGCAACGAUGCGUAGCCGACCUGAGAGGGUGAUCGGCCACACUGGAACUGAGCCACGGUCCAGACUCCUAAGGGAGGCAGCAGUAGGGAAUCUUCCGCAAAGGGCGAAAGCUUGACGGAGCAACGCCGCGUGAGUGAUGAAGGUCUUCGGAUCGUAAAACUCUGUUAUUAGGGAAGAACAAAUGUGUAAGUAACUAUGCACGUCUUGACGGUACCUAAUCAGAAAGCCACGGCUAACUACGUG
This 497-nucleotide ribosomal RNA is filed under the name uncultured bacterium. RNAcentral's name for it is "partial 16S ribosomal RNA". It matches the Rfam family "Bacterial small subunit ribosomal RNA", at positions 28 to 507 of the family's 1533-position model. The record is from RNAcentral.